RNAcentral lists this ribosomal RNA (365 nucleotides) under uncultured Vibrio sp. Its description in RNAcentral is "bacterial SSU rRNA". It matches the Rfam family "Bacterial small subunit ribosomal RNA", at positions 147 to 507 of the family's 1533-position model. Lineage: Bacteria; Pseudomonadati; Pseudomonadota; Gammaproteobacteria; Vibrionales; Vibrionaceae. The record is from RNAcentral.
CCAUUGGAAACGAUGGCUAAUACCGCAUAAUGCCUUCGGGGCCAAAGAGGGGGACCUUCGGGCCUCUCGCGUCAGGAUAUGCCCAGGUGGGAUUAGCUAGUUGGUGAGGUAAGGGCUCACCAAGGCGACGAUCCCUAGCUGGUCUGAGAGGAUGAUCAGCCACACUGGAACUGAGACACGGUCCAGACUCCUACGGGAGGCAGCAGUGGGAAUAUUGCACAAUGGGCGCAAGCCUGAUGCAGCCAUGCCGCGUGUAUGAAGAAGGCCUUCGGGUUGUAAAGUACUUUCAGUCGUGAGGAAGGUAGUGUAGUUAAUAGCUGCAUUGCUUGACGUUAGCGACAGAAGAAGCACCGGCUAACUCCGUG